GGGGGGUUGGCUCAGUGGUUAAGAGCACUGGUUGCUCUUCGAGAGGACCUGGGUUCAAUUCCCUGCACCCUUA
RNAcentral lists this transfer RNA (73 nucleotides) under Neotoma lepida (desert woodrat). It matches the Rfam family "tRNA". Rfam says of the family: Transfer RNA (tRNA) molecules are approximately 80 nucleotides in length. Their secondary structure includes four short double-helical elements and three loops (D, anti-codon, and T loops). Lineage: Eukaryota; Metazoa; Chordata; Mammalia; Rodentia; Cricetidae. The record is from Rfam by way of RNAcentral.